UUAACGCUUAUAUGGGCGCUAUCAGUAUCAGGCGUCAGCUGUGUGCUCGCAAUAUCUAGUUUAAGUGUAUUAUCUAUGCGCAAUAUGGCGGCAUGGUGAAAACAUGUAGCUGUGGGGAUCAAUCGAAUACGAGAUAACAUUCACAAUUUGAAAUUGAGAGUUGUUUUUGGAACGAAGCUCGUUACGGCAGGCUUGACAUUUGGCUGGGCGACCGAACUGAAAAAAAUGCGAUACUAAAA
Melitaea cinxia (Glanville fritillary) is the source of this 239-nucleotide long non-coding RNA. RefSeq lists it as uncharacterized. The transcript is spliced from 2 exons. The record is from RefSeq and is a predicted model, not a curated record. Lineage: Eukaryota; Metazoa; Arthropoda; Insecta; Lepidoptera; Nymphalidae.